This 775-nucleotide ribosomal RNA is filed under the name uncultured Neocallimastigales. RNAcentral describes it as "partial large subunit ribosomal RNA". It matches the Rfam family "Eukaryotic large subunit ribosomal RNA", at positions 22 to 629 of the family's 3401-position model. Lineage: Eukaryota; Fungi; Neocallimastigomycota; Neocallimastigomycetes; Neocallimastigales. The record is from RNAcentral.
CGCAUCUGUGCAUGCAUGCAUAUCAAUAAGCGGAGGAAAAGAAACUAACAAGGAUUCCCUUAGUAACGGCGAGUGAAGCGGGAAGAGCUCGAAUUUGAAGUCUUCAAGGUUUCACCUUGACGAAUUGUAGUUUAAAGAAGUGUUUUCUGUUGAAGUUAUGGUAAAAGUUCUUUGGAAUAGGACAUCAUAGAGGGUGAGAAUCCCGUAUUUGACCAUUAUUUUCAGCUGUGUGAUACACUUUCAAAGAGUCGGAUUGUUUGGGAAUGCAGUCCAAAAUGGGUGGUAAAUUUCAUCUAAAGCUAAAUAUUGGCGAGAGACCGAUAGCGAACAAGUACCGUGAGGGAAAGAUGAAAAGAACUUUGAAAAGAGAGUUAAACAGUACGUGAAAUUGUCAAAAGGGAAGCGUUUGACACCAGUGUUGUUUUCUCGAAAAUCAAUUAAAAAGAGUUAGAUUUUGUUGUGUAUUGACCUUAACAGCUUGCAUUUCAAUUUUCUUGCUUUUUUUAAUGCACUUUUCGUUUAACAAGUCAACAUCAGUUUCUUUUGUUGUAAAAAGGUCAUUGGAAGGUGGCUUUCUUUUCGGAGAAAGUGUUUAUAGCCUUUGACUCCUGCAAUCGGAGAGACUGAGGUCUGCAGCGUAGAUCCUUCGGGGUUAGAUACAUUUGUGCUAAGUUAUAGCUUUUUAUAGACAACUUGUUGACUAUGAUUAGUCUUGUAGCUUACUCGCUUAUGCUAUUUUACCUACGCUUAGGAUGUUGAUGUGAUACUGCGAGCA